Molecule: ribosomal RNA, 274 nt
Filed under: uncultured bacterium
Lineage: Bacteria
Description: partial 16S ribosomal RNA
Rfam family: Bacterial small subunit ribosomal RNA
Source: RNAcentral
AUACAGAGGUGGCAAGCGUUGUUCGGAUUUACUGGGCGUAAAGGGUGUGUAGGUGGUUUGAUAAGUUGGAUGUGAAAGACCUCAGCUCAACUGGGGAAUUGCAUUCAAAACUGUCUAACUAGAGGAAUUGGGAAGUGAGCGGAAUUCUAGGUGUAGCGGUGAAAUGCGUAGAUAUCUAGAAGAACACCAGUGGCGUAGGCGGCUCGCUAUCAUUCUCCUGACACUGAGGCACGAAAGCGUGGGGAGCAAACGGGAUUAGAAACCCCGGUAGUCC